GAUUUAACCUACAUUGAAAAACAAUCAUUUCCUGUUUCAUGGGGGAGGGGGAAGAAGAAAGAAAGAAAUUCUCGCUCCAACAAAGGAAAAGAGAGGAGGGUUGGUGAUUGACGUCACCAGUCUUGGCAACAGGCACGAAUGCGUCUGCGCAUCUACUUUYUGAUUGGUCGUGUGGGUCGCACUCGGUACGUGAUUGGUCGGCUCUGUGCUCCAGCGGACUACAUAUCUGCACUGUAGAUUCCAUUUUGUUGCAAUCAGAAUCGGAGGAGAGAGAGUGAGGUGGCGUUUUGUAMGGCCACUGUGAACAGCAGAACCAGCCUCGAAGAGCGGCAGAUUUUGUAGGAAAUAUAGCUCGCUGUGAUUCCUACAUAGUCUGCUGAGUGACAUCAGAGGCUAACGACAA
This is a long non-coding RNA of Austrofundulus limnaeus, 403 nucleotides long. RefSeq lists it as uncharacterized. The transcript is spliced from 2 exons. Lineage: Eukaryota; Metazoa; Chordata; Actinopteri; Cyprinodontiformes; Rivulidae. The record is from RefSeq and is a predicted model, not a curated record.